AACGAACGCUGGCGGCAGGCUUAACACAUGCAAGUCGAGCGCCCCGCAAGGGGAGCGGCAGACGGGUGAGUAACGCGUGGGAAUCUACCCACCUCUGCGGAACAACUCCGGGAAACUGGAGCUAAUACCGCAUACGCCCUUCGGGGGAAAGAUUUAUCGGGGAUGGAUGAGCCCGCGUUGGAUUAGCUAGUUGGUGGGGUAAAGGCCUACCAAGGCGACGAUCCAUAGCUGGUCUGAGAGGAUGAUCAGCCACAUUGGGACUGAGACACGGCCCAAACUCCUACGGGAGGCAGCAGUGGGGAAUAUUGGACAAUGGGCGCAAGCCUGAUCCAGCCACGCCGCGUGAGUGAUGAAGGCCUUAGGGUUGUAAAGCUCUUUCACCGAUGAAGAUAAUGACGGUAGUCGGAGAAGAAGCCCCGGCUAACUUCGUGCCAGCAGCCGCAGUAA
This 447-nucleotide ribosomal RNA is filed under the name uncultured bacterium. RNAcentral describes it as "partial 16S ribosomal RNA". It matches the Rfam family "Bacterial small subunit ribosomal RNA", at positions 29 to 523 of the family's 1533-position model. The record is from RNAcentral.